Molecule: ribosomal RNA, 500 nt
Filed under: uncultured bacterium
Lineage: Bacteria
Description: bacterial SSU rRNA
Rfam family: Bacterial small subunit ribosomal RNA
Source: RNAcentral
GAGGCUAACGCUGGCGGCGUGUCUUAGCCAUGCAAGUCGAGCGGACUUAUGGGGUAACUUAUAAGUCAGCGGCGGACGGCGGAGUAACACGUAGCUAACCUACCCUCUGGACGGGGAUAACCUACCGAAAGGUGGGCUAAUACCCGAUGUAGUCAUCCUGUAUAGGGGUGAUGAAAGGUGGGCUUCUGUUUACAAGCUCAUGCUGGAGGAGGGGGCUGCGGCCUAUCAGGUAGUUGGUAGGGUAAUAGCCUACCAAGCCGAUGACGGGUAGCCGGCCUGAGAGGGUGACCGGCCCGAGGGGCACUGAGAUACGGGUCCCACUCCUACGGGAGGCAGCAGGCUAGAAAUUUGGGCAAUGGGGGAAACCCUGACCCAGUGACGCCGCGUGCAGGAAGGAGCCCUUCGGGGUGUAAACUGCUGUCGUGUAGGGAGAAGGGUACUAAGGUGAACAAUCUUAGUACUUGACGGUACUACAGGAGGAAGCCCAGGCUAACCUCGUG